GCUCCUGUGUCGAAAUUGGCAAACGAAGUAGACUCAAAAUCUACCGGCAGUGAUGUCUUAAGGGUUCAAGUCCCUUUGGGAGCACCA
Molecule: transfer RNA, 87 nt
Filed under: Mycoplasmoidaceae bacterium
Lineage: Bacteria; Bacillati; Mycoplasmatota; Mycoplasmoidales; Mycoplasmoidaceae
Description: tRNA-Leu
Rfam family: tRNA
About the family: Transfer RNA (tRNA) molecules are approximately 80 nucleotides in length. Their secondary structure includes four short double-helical elements and three loops (D, anti-codon, and T loops).
Source: RNAcentral